CCCGCUGAACUUAAGCAUAUCAAUAAGCGGAGGAAAAGAAACUAACCAGGAUUCCCCUAGUAACGGCGAGUGAAGCGGGAUGAGCUCAAGCUUAAAAUCUCUGUGCCAGUUUGGCAUGGCGAAUUGUAGUCUAUAGAGGCGUUGUCAGUGCGGCUGUGCGGGGUAAGUUCCUUGGAAGAGGACAGCAUCGAGGGUGAUACUCCCGUUUGUACCUGUGCGGCUUGCGCGUACGACACGUUUUCUUCGAGUCGCGUUGUUUGGGACUGCAGCGCAAAGUAGGUGGUAAAUUCCAUCUAAAGCUAAAUAUUGGUGCGAGACCGAUAGCGAACAAGUACCGUGAGGGAAAGAUGAAAAGAACUUUGAAAAGAGAGUUAAAGAGUACCUGAAACUGCUGAAAGGGAAGCGAAUCGUAUCCAGUGUCUAUAAUCUGCGACAUAUUUCAUUGGCGGCAGUGUGCGUGCUUUUGCGUCGGAAGCGGCUUUUGUUGCUCUGUGCUUUUGCUGUGCGCGCUGUUGCUGUUGCCCUGUGUUGCGGUGGGACGUCAGAGUCAGUUCGUAUGCUGCGGGAAAUGGCCGCCGAGGAGGUAGGUCAGGAUUUCGGUCUUGGCUGUUAUAUCUUGGUGGUUUGUUGUCGUGGUUGGGACUGAGGUGCCUACAAUGUGCUUUUGAGUGUGCCGGGUUCUCAUUUGGUGGACUGUUUGGAUAGCUUGCUAUGCUUGUGGUUUUUUCAUCGAGUGAUUGAGUCUGGUGGUAACUUAUUGCCGUUCGGGACUUUGACGAAAUGGAGCGAUU
RNAcentral lists this ribosomal RNA (791 nucleotides) under Globisporangium cylindrosporum. RNAcentral describes it as "eukaryotic LSU rRNA". It matches the Rfam family "Eukaryotic large subunit ribosomal RNA", at positions 24 to 644 of the family's 3401-position model. Lineage: Eukaryota; Oomycota; Peronosporomycetes; Pythiales; Pythiaceae. The record is from RNAcentral.